UACGAAGGGGGCUAGCGUUGUUCGGAAUUACUGGGCGUAAAGCGCGCGCAGGCGGUCCUUUAAGUCGGGGGUGAAAGCCCAGAGCUCAACUCUGGAACUGCCUUCGAAACUAGAGGACUUGGGUACGGGAGAGGUGAGUGGAAUUCCGAGUGUAGAGGUGAAAUUCGUAGAUAUUCGCAAGAACACCAGUGGCGAAGGCGGCUCACUGGCCCGGUACUGACGCUGAGGCACGAAAGCGUGGGGAGCAAACAGG
Molecule: ribosomal RNA, 253 nt
Filed under: uncultured bacterium
Lineage: Bacteria
Description: partial 16S ribosomal RNA
Rfam family: Bacterial small subunit ribosomal RNA
Source: RNAcentral